AACGAACGCUGGCGGCAGGCCUAACACAUGCAAGUCGAGCGCCCUUUCGGGGGAGCGGCGGACGGGUGAGUAACGCGUGGGAAUAUGCCCUUCUCUACGGAAUAGCCUCGGGAAACUGAGAGUAAUACCGUAUACGCCCUGUGGGGGAAAGAUUUAUCGGGGAAGGAUUAGCCCGCGUUGGAUUAGGUAGUUGGUGGGGUAAUGGCCUACCAAGCCGACGAUCCAUAGCUGGUUUGAGAGGAUGAUCAGCCACACUGGGACUGAGACACGGCCCAGACUCCUACGGGAGGCAGCAGUGGCGAAUCUUAGACAAUGGGGGCAACCCUGAUCUAGCCAUGCCGCGUGAGUGAUGAAGGCCUUAGGGUUGUAAAGCUCUUUCAGCUGGGAAGAUAAUGACGGUACCAGCAGAAGAAGCCCCGGCUAACUCCGUG
This 431-nucleotide ribosomal RNA is filed under the name uncultured bacterium. Its description in RNAcentral is "partial 16S ribosomal RNA". It matches the Rfam family "Bacterial small subunit ribosomal RNA", at positions 29 to 507 of the family's 1533-position model. The record is from RNAcentral.